AUGGGCGGGGAUCCGCCUUGGAUUUGGCCCGAGAACCCCUGGUUUACCAGCGGGACUGUGGCCCAGGCAGGAGGAAGGCGUCUGCAGGCGCCGACCGCGUCGUGUGCGCGACCGCGCCCGGCUCCCCGCGACCCCGAGGGCCAGAGGUGCCAAUGCCUGGCGCCGGGCAGGGGGGAGCCCGCGGCCUGGCCUCCAGAGGAAGGGGGCCGACUCUUAUAUAAAAGUCCCCGUUCUCUGCCAAACACCAUGCCAGCGCAUGGGCAGACCGUGCAGCCAGCCUCUCCCUGUCACCACGGACCGCUGUCCCUUGGAGACUGUCCCACGCCUGCUCUCCAGCCCCUGCCCACCUUCCCUGCCCUGCCCCCUCCUCCUCCCCAAACCCGACCUCCUGCCUCCAUCUCUGUGAAUCCUUCUCCAGGAAGCUCGGGCAGGCUUUUGACGUCUUUGGUAAAUGUUGUAUUUCGCAGUAUUUCUAGAUUCGCCUGCCGUUGUAAGAUGGAACGCAGAGACCGUUGCUAUACUCUUCAGCCAGCUGUCCUCUGUGGUUGGACUGGCUUUACUGGUAUGCAGUGUCCCAAAGGGGAUUUUGGGGGGAAUCGUUUUAUUCAAAAAUAUGGGCAGGUGACCUACAGCACGCCCGGCCCUUUGAGACGCGGAGAUAGAGCAGUGAGUCACAGUGACAAGCAUCUCUGUGCCGUGGGUCGGGUCCUUAUUUGUGGUGAAGUCCAUUGCACUCGCCAUGUAUUUCUGGCGGGAACUCGCAUUCUCUCCGUGGAUCCUAAGCUCCCCAGCGCAGACAGCCCAUCACCCACCCUUCUGUUUCCACAUCAAGGCCUAGAGCUGCAACCUUUUUACCUGAGAGCCCCUAGAACUUCCACUUACGGCGCAGGGAGGAAUCUGGAGAGAUCAGCUGGCCUGUGCGCCUACAAAAAGACCUGUAACAGAGGUGACAUGGUCUCUCUCUUCACACACGUGAAGGGCCUGGCACUGAACACGGACACGUGA
Molecule: long non-coding RNA, 1005 nt
Filed under: Sus scrofa (pig)
Lineage: Eukaryota; Metazoa; Chordata; Mammalia; Artiodactyla; Suidae
Description: lncRNA (ENSSSCG00070015854.1)
Source: RNAcentral